GAGGGUAUAGCUCAGUGGUAGAGCACAUGCUUAGCAUGCACAAGGUCCUGGGUUCAAUCCCUGGUACUGCCG
Molecule: transfer RNA, 72 nt
Filed under: Camelus bactrianus (Bactrian camel)
Lineage: Eukaryota; Metazoa; Chordata; Mammalia; Artiodactyla; Camelidae
Also listed under: 2 other names
Rfam family: tRNA
About the family: Transfer RNA (tRNA) molecules are approximately 80 nucleotides in length. Their secondary structure includes four short double-helical elements and three loops (D, anti-codon, and T loops).
Source: Rfam by way of RNAcentral